Molecule: antisense RNA, 157 nt
Filed under: Serratia symbiotica SCt-VLC
Lineage: Bacteria; Pseudomonadati; Pseudomonadota; Gammaproteobacteria; Enterobacterales; Yersiniaceae
Description: Bacterial antisene RNA HPnc0260
Rfam family: Bacterial antisense RNA HPnc0260
Source: RNAcentral
UGUUUUGUAUAAGGAUUCGACACCCAUAUCAAAACCGGUAACUCUCAACCUUUCAAGGUCAUGUGUCAGAUCAAGUCGCGACUAAUACAGGAGAAUAAAUCCAGACAAAGCCAUAACUUGGUGCGUCCGAGUGGACUCGAACCACCGACCCCCACCA